CCUGGUGCGGCCUAGUCGGCGGCUGAGGCGGGCAGGCGCUCGAGUUUUUCCCCUCUGCUCUUGGAGCAGCUCGAGAAGAGGCCUCACGCCACGAAAGCUCGCUCUGCAGCAACGCUCCUUAAGGUAUUUGUGGAUGGAAAUGGUGUAACCUCUUUAUGAUGUGAUGUGCUUCAAGAAAAGGGAAAACAGCCACAGAUCAUUGGACUGGAAAAACACAGACAAUCUGAUUGCAAGUACAGUAUAUAACAUUGCAAUCAUGUGUAGGUAUGCUGAGAAACAAGUCCCAUGGAGAUAAGUGGGCUUACUUCCAGGUAAGUCAGGAAAUGAUUGUUGUCUGAGUCAGCUGAUUUAAAAACCCCAAACUGCCUGGGGCAAACCUAGGGAACCUCAGAAUUUCAGUAACGUCAAAGAUGUUGCUAAUCUUUCUCUCCGAAUCACUGCAGUUGAACUCAAAGACAAACAUAACAAUCUUUACAGUCGUCACAAUAGAUUUCUUUUAGAGAUGUAGAGCUUGAUUUACACACUUGUGCACCAAGAAGUUUACACAAGUUGAUAUAUACAAAAGAUAUAUUAAGUAAUAGUAAAAGCAAUAAUUUCUAAAUAUUUAGUGUUCAGUAUUUUGAUCUAUGCCCUCAUCAGUGGCUGUGGUGUAAAACUAUUUAUAUUCUAUGCAUCAUUUCAUGGCAGUGAAUGUGACACAACAAUGAAACAUACUACUAUUAAAAUAAUAUUGUAAGACACAGCAAUAUUUGCGAUCAUUGUUUGCCUGCUGCCUGGGGUGCAGUGUGGGAAAAGGACUCUUGUCCAUGCUUGCACUUCAGUUUUAGAAUGCUCUCCCAGGCAGAGAAACGUCUCUGAGGCCUUUCUGGUGCUUGAUAGAGAGAGGCAUUUUUCUUUUUCCAGGCCACUGUCAAUUUGUUUUACUCAGAUUGUGUUUAUACCACGUUUAUGAUGCUUUUAUGGAGUUGCUGUUCUUAGUUUAUUUUUAUGCAUUUUGUUAUUUUAUGUUGUUUUAAACCUUUUAAGAUAAGCUAUCUUGAUUAUGUGUUUGAACAGUGCAAGUACAAGUUUUUAAUAACAAAUAGAAAGCAGCACUUAAAAAACCGGAAACAAUUUUCUAAAAAGCAGUUGGCAGAUCGUACACAAUCCAAAUCCUGAAUUAAAAAGCAUCCACAAGUAAAAUUGUUUUAUCUGUGUGACUGGUGAGGUAUCCAAAGUAAUCUCAAUCAAUGGCAUACCCCUUUAAUCUCAAAGAAACUACAGGUUUGUACAACAGCAGAUAAUCCUUGGGAUAUUGCGGAUAACUCUUUUCUUGUGUUAUGGGAUUGCAGGAAUUUGCCCAUGGCAGGAAAAUGGUCCCAAGGCACCUGCUGAAGCUAAACCAGUCUGGGUCCAGCCAGUGCUUGGAGGGGAGACAGCUUGGGAAUCCCAUGUAAGCCACCUGGAAUUCCAUAAGGGAAGAAAGGGAAUGAUGAUAAUAUGGUGAUGGUGGUACAUGUGAAAGCAUCUUCAGUGUACCGUUUGUAGCUCAUAAAAUGGAAUAUCUAUCAUUACACCUUCUGAAGCAGGAACCUUGUCUAAUCUGCAUUAAGUGAGAUCAGGUGUCAUGAACCAUCUUUUGUGUGUAGUUUUAAGCAUUGUUAGAUAAAAAUGCUGAAGACUUCCUUCAAAACCAAACAUUGAUACACAUGCAAAUGAACUACUUCUUAGGACAUUGAAAGACGGGUCUUUUCAGACAUAAGAAAACUACAAGUGUGUGAAAGGUGAAAAUGCAUUGUGGUAUUUCUUUUAUGCUAAUAGACAUGAAAAUUAAGCAGGCAGAAUUGCCUGCAGUUGUGAAGUGUCUUUUGAAAGCAAGAUUGAUCCCAAAAUAUCUACUAUCAAGUCGAAUAGAAACACUCCAAAGUCCCAUCAAACAUAUUUAAACCUCUAGAUCUUGAGCUGCCUAAUGCUGGCUGGAUUGUGACCUCAGUGACAUGCAGCAGUUGCUUGAUGGUUGUGAAUUUUGCUCUAACCAAGUUCCCCUUAAGAAGACUUGAAGGCAGGGUUGUGUAAUGCACUGAACAUCAGACAGACUGGUGGAAUUUCCCCUCAGAUGUGCCAAUAUACCUGGAUUUUGUUUUGUUCUAUGUUCCUGUGCAAAAAACUUGAAUUCACGUGCUUAUAUAAGUUAUCAAGAAUGACUUUACCUACAGGAAUGUUGUCCUAAAUCGUUAGAUGGCUUUGGAAAAAACAGAUUAGGCACAUUCUUGGAAGAUAAGGCUUAUCGAUGCCAAUCAUAAAUUCAACUUCCCUGUUCAAAGACAGGAUUCCUCUGAAUAUCCAAGGCUGGGGAUGAACAGUUCUGGGCUGUCCAUAACCUAAGGGCUAUAUUUGCCUACUUCUUGAACAUCUGGCUGGCUGCUUGAGGGGGUGUGUUGGGUCACCUCUGACCCCCAUGCAGGAGAUUGAACUGAUAGUGUUUGGGCUACGUGCACCUCCCAGAUCCCUUUAAAUCAGGAAUUGUUCUACUAUAAGAUGUGAAGUAUGAUCAGAAAAGAAUAGAUCCGCCUUCUCCAAUCUGGUGCCGGACUGCUCCUCCUGCCAUUCCAUUGGCUGGGAAUGUUGGGAUGUGCUGUCCCACCACAUCAGGAAGCAGAGAGGACUGGAAUGGGCUGACCAUUUAAAUAACGUGCGGACCACUGCUUCCCAUGGAAGUGAAGGGCCAUGUGUGUCAAGCUGUGCUCUGUGCAGUUCUGGACCCCAUGGGAACUUGUCCGGAUUUUUGUGUGUGAAGAUCAGGCAAGGUUCUCAGAAAGACCAUGGUCCACUCACAGCUGAGUUUAAGUGGAGCUGCAGUUCACACAGAGCAGGCACACCUCAGUGAUAACCAUUUGUGUACCCCAGAACAUAUGCCAACACCUUCUGCAGUGCACCAGGGGUUCUCACAGGCAAAACCUUGUGGAAAUAUUUCACUGAAAAUAGACAGAAAGGGAAAGGGCCUGAAUGCCAUGAGCCACUGAGCUCUCUUGCUUUAGAUCUUCUGCCCUCCUCUGGUAAAUGCUGCAUCUGAUGAAAACAGCAGUGUCCAAGAUGCUUAUGCCAGACUAAAUUUAAGAUGCCACAAAACCCUUUUGCUGUGAGAAGCAUGUCAUGGCAACCCCUCUGGAAACCCUGCAUUUCACAAUGGUGUCAUUUUUGAUAAGUGCAUCUUACCCUGGGCACUUGUAGGGCUUCUGACAGUGUUCCUUGACCACUACAGCCAAGUAGUUCUUUCUUCUCAACUCACCUCUUCUAGAUCCCCAUCCUGUGCCAGGACCACCUCCUGGCACAGUUUGCCAGGGCCUUAAUCAGGUGGCUUCUGCAAACUUGGCAAGUCCAAGGUCGUUUAUUCCAUCAGAGCCCAAUCUCCACCUCCUUGUACACCAGCCCUUGCUCUGCCGGCUUUCCCUGAGCCAAUCGGCGUUCUUGGGGCUGGCUUGGAGGGGCCCCACCCCAAAAAAAGGCAAAUUACACCUCUCUUUUCCUAAGUCUCUUUGUACACAGCUGGGGCCCUUUGCUUUCAUGCAUGCAGUGAUUACUAAAAAAAGAAAGGAGGAUCGUCAUCGGCGCUUACUCAGCAGAACAGCAAAGGCUGUUCGGAAGAUGUGGCUGGCUUCCAGAUCACUUGGUUCUGCCCUUGCAUCUCUGUGACCAAAGGACACUGCUGAUCCUUCUCUCGCCUGCAUAGCUUGGACGCGUCCAGCCUUGACAUCCCCGAUUGGAGCAGGCGCCACCGUACUUGAAUGACCUGCCAUCCCAAAACUGGAAAAGCAUGAACACCCGCUCCCUCCCCCCCCGCCCAGCAUUCUCCUGAUGAAAGAAUUUGGGCAGGUGGGAGUUUGCUGAAAAGCAUCUGAGUGGCACUGAGCAAGGCAGGGAGGUCACAGUUGGAUACUGGCUGUUCUGGUUGCCCUUGAAUGUUGGCAGUCUUACAAAAAAACAGGUUUGUUAAAAUGUUAUUCAGUUAUUUGUCUGUAAUUGUUUAUGCUGGUCUUCAGCCAAAAAGUUUCCAGAUCAGGUGAUACAGAAUCAGUAGAACAAGACAGUCCCAGCCGGCCGGCCUGCAUCUAAAAAGAUGUAACACAUGAAGAGAAAGGGAUGUCUGGGGAUGAGGGGAGACGGGGGAGGAAUGUAUGCACAGGACUCUCCUUGCGCCCUGCUGCCUCAUCUCUCUUGGGAUGAAGAAACCAUGGUUGGUUUUCCAUUUCCCAGUGCUGCACAAUUGCUCAUCAUCCAGGCAAUUCUUAGCACUUCCUGCCUCUUACCCAAUCCCCGGGCAGCAUCUUGUCAUACCCAUGGUGACACUGGUUCUUCCACCAACCACAUAGAUGGUCCUUUAGCUCCUAGAACUGGUUUCUGCAAAGAAACACAAUGCCAUACACAAGACGCAAACUCCAGAUCACAGAAGCCUGCCUUUAUUCUUACCAUGCCAGCACUUGUUCCCUCCUCACGCUUUCAUCAGUCCCAACCUGCCUCACUCCUGCAAAUUAUACCCUGCAAAUAUUUUUAAAAUGCUUGGUGUGCCAGAUGCCAAGCGGGAAGCCAUCUUGCACAACCUGGUAAUUGCCAAGCCGAAUGCACUCCCCGCUCGCCCCUGUGGACGGCGGUCUGCGAAGGAGUGGCCAGCCUC
Varanus komodoensis (Komodo dragon) is the source of this 4651-nucleotide long non-coding RNA. RefSeq lists it as uncharacterized. The transcript is spliced from 4 exons. The record is from RefSeq and is a predicted model, not a curated record. NCBI's taxonomy places the organism in Eukaryota, Metazoa, Chordata, Lepidosauria, Squamata, Varanidae.